UAAACCUUCAGCGAAGUGCCGCAGCUGGCAGACUAAAAUAGGCUCUGAUCAUAUUUACAUUGUGCUUGCACGACGUUAAAAAUAGCACAUAACCCAACUACGGUAACAGCUGACAUGAGAACGUAAAUAUACGAAGUCAGAUGAACUGUAGACGUUUGGAGGAUUGACGUUAUUUUGACAUUUUAAAGUUGGGCAUUCGUUCAAAGAAGAUGCCGAGAGGUUAACUCUCUAAGUGAUGUACACUUCAUUUGGUCGUGAGGCGCUUCAGUGCGGUCUGGUUCGGGUACACAGCACGUUAGGAUAAAAACUGGACUAUGAAGUUAAUCGUAGACGUGGUGUGGAUGGUGUGGGGUAUCGGAGCCUACGUCUAUGAUUACCUACACACCAGUGCCAUAGAAGAACGUAUACACUCUCUGGAAAGCGUCCUAACUGUCCACCAGUUCAUCAUCGUGUUCCUCACAGCAAGUCUUAUCAUGUUGAUCUCAUAUAUCAUCUUUAAGAAACACUAACUACUACCAAGAUAUUCCAGCACUACACCAAUGUGGUGCCACCCUACGGGUCUAAAACUGUUGUAAAGUGGUUUACAUCGGAGAGCUUGUAGAAUAUGUUCAUAUUUUUUGUAUAUCCCUUGGUGUGUUUCUGGCUGAAGGAAUAGAGGGUAAAUUAUGCCACCAUUACUGUGAAAGACGUGGGGAAAUUUUGAAGUGCUGCAAUACUGAAGGCACAAGGUAUGUGUUUUAGAAUUUCCCUCAAAACCAGGAAGAAAAUAUGAUUGUUUCUUCUAACACACUGCAUUAAUUGACGGAGUGCUUUUGGGACUCAAAGUGUUUUUUUUUUUACUGCAAUGAACUUGGAACAGGAAAAAAAAACAUUGAAAAGAGAAGCCAGUGGAUUUUUGUGUAGCACAUACACAAAGCUGCCAAACUGACUGCAGUUUUGUGACAUUUGCCAUAGCAACAUUGUAGCUAUGAAAAGAUAUCAACCUCCUGGACAACAUAUGUACUUCAACUUUCCACUUCCACAGCUCUGGAGUGGAAGCCUGGCAGAGACAUUCUUGCAUGGGCUUGCUCUCAGCCCUCAUCAUGAUCUGUAAUAAACGCUAACCACUAACCUAGCAAAGUCCUUCCAAGGUGACCAUUCUGCUUCAGAAGGUGUGUUUUGCCCAUUUUAAUGUCCUCAUGCAAUGAUCAGUAACAGCUUUGCUGGUCUUUGCUGGUGUGUGUCUACUAUGAUCUUUGCUAGUAAAGUCAGAGUACAUUCUGGGGCACACGCUUUGCUGAUUGUGCAGUUAUUUAAGGAGCUUUAAUUACACAUAACAAUGCUGAUUCUACUUUAUAUUACAUAGAUAACUGGGUCAACAUGUAGAUUUCUGUUUCUGCACUUUGUCUUUACUGGAAGAGUGGAAACCUACUGAAACUGCUGUUUUCAACACUGUGACACUGUUUGUUUCCUUUUGUAGAUUCUCAUUUACUUUGAAUUUGCAUGAAUGUUUAGAAUAACAUUACAUCAUGUCCAUGAACAUGUAUUUUGGUGUAGGAAAAAUGAACUUGGCCCUAUAUUAGAGAGUUGCAAUUCACAUUUGAUUCAUGUCAAUAAUUAUUUUCCAUUUAGUCUAUAACAAAUAACUGGUGGUUGAUAAUAAAACAGGGUUUAAGUCUUUUUGCCAUAUGCCAUUAAAAACAGCAUUAAAGAGUCUAAUUGGCUUCUUAGGGGGAGGAAUGACAUCGGUUCAUCUAAGAACUAUUAAAAAAAAAACUACAAUAGAAAUAAAAUGAUUUGAUACAUUAAA
Molecule: non-coding RNA, 1789 nt
Organism: Electrophorus electricus (electric eel)
Lineage: Eukaryota; Metazoa; Chordata; Actinopteri; Gymnotiformes; Gymnotidae
Source: RefSeq, a predicted model, not a curated record